This 253-nucleotide ribosomal RNA is filed under the name uncultured bacterium. RNAcentral's name for it is "partial 16S ribosomal RNA". It matches the Rfam family "Bacterial small subunit ribosomal RNA", at positions 524 to 776 of the family's 1533-position model. The record is from RNAcentral.
GACGUAGGGCGCGAGCGUUGUCCGGAUUUAUUGGGCGUAAAGAGCUCGUAGGCGGCUCGUUGCGUCGGCUGUGAAAACCCGCAGCUCAACUGUGGGCUUGCAGCUGAUACGGGCGGGCUGGAGUUCGGUAGGGGAGACUGGAACUCCUGGUGUAGCGGUGGAAUGCGCAGAUAUCAGGAAGAACACCGGUGGCGAAGGCGGCUCUCUGGGCCUUACCUGACGCUGAGGAGCGAAAGCGUGGGGAGCGAACGGG